UACGGAGGGUGCAAGCAUUAAUCGGAAUUAUUGGGCGUAAAGGGCGCGUAGGCGGAUGGGAAAGUCAGAUGUGAAAUUCCGAAGCUCAACUUCGGAGCUGCAUUUGAAACUUCCGAUCUUGAGGAAUGGCGGAGAAAAUGGAAUUCCACGUGUAGCGGUGAAAUGCGUAGAUAUGUGGAAGAACACCUGUGGCGAAAGCGGCCUUCUAGCAUAAUCCUGACGCUGAGGUGCGAAAGCGUGGGGAGCAAACAGG
RNAcentral lists this ribosomal RNA (253 nucleotides) under uncultured bacterium. Its description in RNAcentral is "partial 16S ribosomal RNA". It matches the Rfam family "Bacterial small subunit ribosomal RNA", at positions 524 to 776 of the family's 1533-position model. The record is from RNAcentral.